GACGAACGCUGGCGGCGUGCUUAACACAUGCAAGUCGAACGGAAAGGCCCUGCUUUUGUGGGGUGCUCGGGUGGCGAACGGGUGAGUAACACGUGAGUAACCUGCCCUUGACUUUGGGAUAACUUCAGGAAACUGGGGCUAAUACCGGAUAGGAGCUCCUGCUGCAUGGUGGGGGUUGGAAAGUUUCGGCGGUUGGGGAUGGACUCGCGGCUUAUCAGCUUGUCGGUGGGGUAGGGGCUUACCAAGGCUUUGACGGGUAGCCGGCCUGAGAGGGUGACCGGCCACAUUGGGACUGAGAUACGGCCCAGACUCCUACGGGAGGCAGCAGUGGGGAAUAUUGCACAAUGGGCGGAAGCCUGAUGCAGCAACGCCGCGUGCGGGAUGACGGCCUUCGGGUUGUAAACCGCUUUCGCCUGUGACGAAGCGUGAGUGACGGUAAUGGGUAAAGAAGCACCGGCUAACUACGUG
This 468-nucleotide ribosomal RNA is filed under the name uncultured bacterium. RNAcentral's name for it is "partial 16S ribosomal RNA". It matches the Rfam family "Bacterial small subunit ribosomal RNA", at positions 28 to 507 of the family's 1533-position model. The record is from RNAcentral.